GGGAGGAAAUCGCUAGGGGUUCUCCCCUAGUGUUGACCUAUCUUCGGAAGAAGGACGGGCUAAGUUCGUGCCAGCAGCCGCGGUAAUACGAACCGUCCAAACGUUAUUCGGAUUCAUUGGGCUUAAAGGGUACGUAGGCGGCGCUUCAAGUCGGGUGUGAAAUCCCUCGGCUCAACCGAGGAACUGCGCCCGAUACUGGAGUGCUUGAGGGAGACAGAGGUAAGCGGAACUGAUGGUGGAGCGGUGAAAUGCGUUGAUAUCAUCAGGAACACCAGUGGCGAAAGCGGCUUACUGGGUCUCUUCUGACGCUGAGGUACGAAAGCUAGGGGAGCGAACGGGAUUAGAUACCCCGGUAGUCCUAGCUGUAAACGUUGAGCACUUGAUUGAGGAUCCCCCAUAGGUUCUCGGUCGAAGCGAAAGUGAUAAGUGCUCCGCCUGGGGAGUAUGGUCGCAAGGCUG
This 459-nucleotide ribosomal RNA is filed under the name uncultured Planctomycetota bacterium. Its description in RNAcentral is "bacterial SSU rRNA". It matches the Rfam family "Bacterial small subunit ribosomal RNA", at positions 442 to 896 of the family's 1533-position model. Lineage: Bacteria; Pseudomonadati; Planctomycetota. The record is from RNAcentral.